RNAcentral lists this ribosomal RNA (273 nucleotides) under uncultured Microbacteriaceae bacterium. RNAcentral's name for it is "partial 16S ribosomal RNA". It matches the Rfam family "Bacterial small subunit ribosomal RNA", at positions 524 to 796 of the family's 1533-position model. Lineage: Bacteria; Bacillati; Actinomycetota; Actinomycetes; Micrococcales; Microbacteriaceae. The record is from RNAcentral.
UACGUAGGGUGCAAGCGUUGUCCGGAAUUAUUGGGCGUAAAGAGCUCGUAGGCGGUUUGUCGCGUCUGCUGUGAAAAUCCUAGGCUCAACCUUGGACCUGCAGUGGGUACGGGCAAGCUAGAGUGCGGUAGGGGAGAUGGGAAUUCCUGGUGUAGCGGUGGAAUGCGCAGAUAUCAGGAGGAACACCAAUGGCGAAGGCACAUCUCUGGGCCGUAACUGACGCUGAGGAGCGAAAGCGUGGGGAGCGAACAGGAUUAGAAACCCCAGUAGUCC